RNAcentral lists this long non-coding RNA (381 nucleotides) under Nicotiana benthamiana. RNAcentral's name for it is "long non-coding RNA (NBEN_LNC002084)". Lineage: Eukaryota; Viridiplantae; Streptophyta; Magnoliopsida; Solanales; Solanaceae. The record is from RNAcentral.
ACUGGCGUAGGAUAAAAAAUGACAUUUUCUGGUAUCGAUAAAUUGGUCCACUAGAAAAUAUCUGAAUGAAUUAGAUUUGGGGUCCAAUUCAUUUGUGCCUUAACAGAUUUGUCAAGGAAUUUGAAGUCCAGGUCUAGACCGCACUUUAUAUAGUCAAAAUGUUUUUUAACUUAGCCUCAGGUCAAUUACUGAAGUGGUGAAUCCAAUGGUUGAGCUUAAAAUGAUUUGAGUCCUAAUAUCUGAAGCCUAUUCGACUAUCCAAACAAGUAAAUAGAGAUUUGAAGGUUGGUGGUCCAAAGUAAAAAAUCUGACCUUUUGAAGUGUAAUUCAAAAAUGGUCAAGUCUAGGACCAAUGUUUUGGGCCUAUUUGGCCAUAAAGAG